This 372-nucleotide ribosomal RNA is filed under the name uncultured alga. Its description in RNAcentral is "bacterial LSU rRNA". It matches the Rfam family "Bacterial large subunit ribosomal RNA", at positions 2098 to 2465 of the family's 2925-position model. The record is from RNAcentral.
CCUUUACUGUAGCUUUGUAUUGGACUUUGAACAGAUCUGUGUAGGAUAGGUGGGAGGCUUUGAAGUGCAUGGUCGCUAGAUGUCUAUGUGAGCCAACGUUGAAAUACCACCCUGGUGUGUUUGAGGUUCUAACCUAGGUCCAUUAUCUGGAUCGGGGACAGUGCAUGGUAGGCAGUUUGACUGGGGCGGUCUCCUCCCAAAGCGUAACGGAGGAGUUCGAAGGUACGCUAGUUACGGUCGGACAUCGUGACGAUAGUGCAAUGGCAUAAGCGUGCUUAACUGCGAGACUGACAAGUCGAGCAGAUGCGAAAGCAGGACAUAGUGAUCCGGUGGUUCUGUAUGGAAGGGCCAUCGCUCAACGGAUAAAAGGUA